GAAGAAGAAGAAGAAGAAGAAGAAGAAGAAGAAGAAGAAGAAACUUCAAGUGCUUUUGAAUUCCCUUAGUGCAAUAUUUCCUGGCAAAGUAAAAUGCACCUUGAAAAAGUAUGUAGCUUUUCUCUGACCUGGGGGAACUGGCUUACAGCCAGAGAGGGUGGAAAGUCAAACACCUUCAAGAAAAAGUGUUUCCUUUUAUCGGGAAACCAUUUCUGGUGAUCACAGGGAGAAUCAACAUUUUCAACACAAAAUUAUUGUUCACCUCCUUUAAAUUAGAAAUGUGCCAUAUGGCAUUUUUAAAGUAGAAUUUAACAUUACUUAUUUAUAUAUCUGGCAAGUAGGUAUAUAAAUGGUAUACACUAAUGCUAAAAUUCCCAAAACUUUGGGAGCUCUUGCAGUAGACAAACAAGAGCCCUAAAAUAUGGAAUUAACUGAAUGGAGGCAAGGAGGAUGUCCUGAAAAGGAACCCUCUAUCCUGGGCAAAGGAAGAUGCAACGAGAUCAACAAACUGUCCCAUAAGUGGGUUUUUAAGUUCACAGAUCAGAAAAUUUCCAAUUAAUGGGGGGAAAAAAGCUUAAAUCUAGCCAUCACUGAACAAUAACAACAUUGUUACUGAUUUGAGAUUUCAGCUAUUUUAUAAGAAAAUAUAUUAAGAAUUGAAUUGGUGAAAUCUUACCUUAUUCCAACUCCAGAGUGAUAUUCUGAAGUGGGGAAAUGUAAUAUUAAAAAAAAAUAGUAGUGGGGAGGUGGACAAGAUGGCUGAUUUGAAGCCUCCAGUGAUGGUCCUUUCCAUGGGAGCACCAAAUUGAACACUAUCCACACAAAAAAGCAUAGGACCUAAAAGUCAGGUGAGAGAAACAGUACCUGUGUCUACCUUCAUAUCACCAAAACAGGCACUGAAGAGGGUGGGAAAGACAGUCUUGAAUUGCUGAUACACUUUUCUCCCAUUCCCCAGUAAUGGCUGUGUGACACAGACACAGAAUCUGUGUGCUUGCAGGAGGGAGAGUAAAGUGAUUGUGGGAUUUGGUAUUGGAACUCAGUGCUGCCCUGUCACAGCAGAAAGCAACAUAGGCAGAUCUCAGUCAGUGACCACGGAGGGAGCAUUGAGCCCUAGCCAGAGGGGCAUCACUCAUCCCAGCAUUUGGAACUUGAGUUCUGGCAAGCCUCACUACCAUGGGCUAAAGUGCUCUGGGGCUCUAAAUAAACUUGAAAGGCAGUCUAGGCCACCAGGACUGCAAUUUUUGGGCAAUUCCUGAUGCUGUGCUGGGCUCAGAGCCAAUGGACUUUGGG
Molecule: long non-coding RNA, 1290 nt
Filed under: Homo sapiens (human)
Lineage: Eukaryota; Metazoa; Chordata; Mammalia; Primates; Hominidae
Description: HSALNT0159795
Source: RNAcentral